Molecule: long non-coding RNA, 620 nt
Organism: Hemicordylus capensis (graceful crag lizard)
Lineage: Eukaryota; Metazoa; Chordata; Lepidosauria; Squamata; Cordylidae
Exons: 3
Source: RefSeq, a predicted model, not a curated record
CAGAUUUGGAUACAAUAUUCCAAGUGAGGUCUGACCAAAACAGAAUAGAGUGGAACAAUGUUCUUUGUGAUCUGGACACUACAUUUCUGUUCAUGGAGUUUAUGAAAGAUAUUUUGGCCUUUGGGGUGAAGCAUGCUUCCUCUUGAAAGCUGAAGAUUCAAAAAAAUUGCACUGCCUGAUAGAAUGCAGGAAGUUUGGAAUGAGAAUGGAACCACAGCAUACAAAUCAGGACACCUGCUAAGCCUGUUGUACAUCCAUCCAUCCAUCAAGACUUCACAGUGUGGCUUUGUAGGACAACAUAAUAUAGCCUAAGCUAUCAGUGUUAAAGGCUCUUUAAACCAGCAGUUAUAUAAAGUAAAGAAAAAUACACAAGGUCUCACAAUGGAAGGAGAUGGAUAUUAGGUAAAAUCAGAGAACAGAAAAGAUUAAGUGUCUUUAAUAAGCUCCAUUUUUUCUCCUUACACCUGAAAAUUUGACACAAAUGGGAAGUACACCUGAUAGUAUCAAUAGCAGAGAUUUUCUCAAGUAUUUUUUUAAUCGACUGUCUCCCAUUUUAUGUAGCAAGUGACUGAUGACACCAACUGCUCAAAUUUGAUUUUUACAAGUGCAUUGCUGUCCUA